RNAcentral lists this long non-coding RNA (201 nucleotides) under Prunus persica (peach). RNAcentral's name for it is "long non-coding RNA (PPER_LNC008570)". The record is from RNAcentral. Lineage: Eukaryota; Viridiplantae; Streptophyta; Magnoliopsida; Rosales; Rosaceae.
GGAGGGCAAAAUGGUAAUUUUGAUAUCAGGUUUUUUUUUUUAAAUUAAAAAAAAACAGACUCUCUCUCUCCUCCCUCACUCUUCUCUCUCGACCAGCAGUGCCCUCCUUCCCCCUGUUUUAACCCGUCACCUUCAAACCUCCAUAACCACCGCCACACUCCACUCCGACCGAUGAGACCGAACCCAAUCGAAUCACCGCCG